GAAUCAGCUGAUCCCGCGGACCCACUGGGUUGCCAAGCUCGCGCCGGAUGCGGAGCGCGGUGCUGCCGGUGGAGCUUCAGGUCUUGAUAGACUUUCUGUAAAGAAGGAAUGAUUUGGUGAUGGAGUGUUCCCACUGACCGAUGGACUCAAAGAAGAGAAGCUCAACAGAGGCAGAAGGAUCCAAGGAAAGAGGCCUGGUCCAUAUCUGGCAGGCAGGAUCCUUUCCCAUAACACCAGAGAGAUUGCCAGGCUGGGGAGGAAAGACUGUUUUGCAGGCAGCCCUCGGAGUGAAACAUGGAGUUCUUCUGACUGAAGAUGGUGAGGUCUACAGCUUUGGGACUCUUCCCUGGAGAAGUGGACCAGUGGAGAUUUGUCCAAGUAGCCCCAUUCUAGAAAAUGCCCUGGUUGGGCAAUAUGUUGUUACUGUGGCAACAGGAAGCUUCCAUAGUGGAGCAGUGACAGACAAUGGUGUCGCGUACAUGUGGGGAGAGAAUUCUGCUGGCCAGUGUGCAGUAGCCAACCAGCAGUAUGUGCCGGAACCAAAUCCUGUCAGCAUUGCUGAUUCUGAGGCCAGCCCUUUGUUAGCAGUCAGGAUUUUACAGUUGGCAUGUGGCGAGGAGCACACUCUGGCAUUGUCAAUAAGCAGAGAGAUUUGGGCAUGGGGUACCGGUUGUCAGUUGGGUCUCAUUACCACUGCCUUCCCAGUGACAAAGCCACAAAAGGUAGAACAUCUUGCUGGGCGAGUGGUGCUUCAAGUUGCCUGUGGUGCUUUCCACAGCUUAGCCCUUGUACAGUGCCUCCCUUCCCAGGAUCUGAAGCCAGUCCCAGAACGAUGCAACCAGUGCAGCCAGCUCUUGAUUACUAUGACUGACAAAGAAGACCAUGUGAUUAUAUCAGACAGUCAUUGUUGCCCAUUAGGUGUGACACUGACAGAAUCUCAGGCAGAAAACCAUGCCAGCACUGCUCUCAGCCCCUCCACUGAAACCCUUGACAGGCAGGAAGAAGUAUUUGAGAACACUCUCGUAGCAAAUGAUCAGUCUGUUGCUACUGAACUGAAUGCAGUAAGUGCUCAGAUCACAAGCAGCGAUGCCAUGUCCUCUCAACAAAAUGUCAUGGGAACAACUGAAAUUUCCUCUGCCAGAAACAUACCAUCAUACCCUGACACCCAAGCAGUCAAUGAAUACCUACGGAAACUGUCAGAUCAUUCAGUAAGAGAGGACUCAGAGCAUGGUGAAAAGCCAAUGCCAUCUCAGCCUCUUUUAGAAGAAGCAAUUCCUAAUCUCCACAGCCCGCCUACCACAAGCACCUCAGCCCUAAACAGCCUGGUGGUCUCUUGUGCAUCUGCUGUUGGUGUGAGAGUGGCUGCUACUUAUGAAGCUGGUGCCUUGUCACUGAAGAAAGUUAUGAACUUUUAUAGUACAACCCCUUGUGAAACUGGAGCUCAGGCAGGCAGUAGUGCCAUUGGCCCCGAAGGUUUGAAAGAUAGCAGGGAAGAACAGGUUAAACAGGAAUCAAUGCAAGGAAAGAAAAGUUCAAGUCUUGUGGAUAUCAGAGAAGAAGAAACAGAGGGAGGCAGUCGAAGACUCUCCCUCCCUGGAUUGUUGUCACAAGUUUCCCCCAGGCUCUUAAGAAAGGCUGCACGGGUGAAAACGAGGACAGUGGUUCUGACCCCCACAUACAGUGGAGAAGCAGAUGCGCUCCUGCCUUCUCUGAGAACAGAAGUGUGGACCUGGGGGAAAGGGAAGGAAGGGCAGCUGGGGCACGGCGAUGUUCUGCCUAGGCUUCAACCGUUGUGUGUAAAAUGUCUGGAUGGCAAAGAAGUAAUCCAUCUGGAGGCAGGUGGUUACCAUUCUCUUGCACUUACUGCGAAAUCCCAGGUUUACUCAUGGGGUAGCAAUACCUUUGGUCAACUUGGGCAUUCCGAUUUUCCAACAACAGUUCCUCGUCUUGCAAAGAUAAGCAGUGAAAAUGGAGUCUGGAGCGUAGCUGCAGGCAGGGAUUAUUCCCUGUUUUUAGUGGAUACAGAAGACUUCCAGCCUGGGUUAUAUUACAGUGGCCGACAGGACCCUACAGAAGGUGACAACCUUCCAGAGAAUCACAGUGGUUCUAAGACUCCAGUACUUCUCUCCUGUAGUAAGCUUGGAUAUAUAAGCAGAGUGACAGCAGGAAAAGAUAGCUAUCUAGCCUUGGUGGAUAAAAACAUUAUGGGGUAUAUUGCCAGUCUCCACGAGUUAGCUACUACAGAAAGACGAUUCUAUUCAAAACUAAGUGAUAUCAAAUCUCAGAUUCUCAGGCCUCUUCUCAGUUUAGAAAAUUUGGGCACUACAACUACAGUCCAGCUGUUGCAGGAGGUGGCUAGCCGAUUCAGCAAGCUGUGUUACCUCAUUGGUCAGCAUGGAGCCUCAUUGAGCAGCUUCCUUCAUGGGGUAAAGGAAGCCAGGAGUUUGGUCAUCCUGAAGCAUUCAAGUCUCUUCUUGGAUAGUUAUACAGAGUAUUGCACAUCUAUUACAAAUUUCCUGGUUAUGGGAGGAUUCCAGCUUCUUGCUAAGCCUGCCAUUGAUUUCCUAAAUAAAAACCAAGAGCUGUUGCAAGAUUUGUCAGAAGUGAAUGACGAAAACACUCAGUUGAUGGAAAUACUGAAUACUUUGUUUUUCUUGCCAAUCAGACGACUUCAUAAUUACGCAAAAGUUUUGCUAAAGCUUGCUACUUGUUUUGAAGUGGCAUCUCCAGAAUAUCAGAAACUGCAGGAUUCCAGUUCUUGUUAUGAGUGUCUUGCUCUCCAUCUCGGCAGGAAAAGGAAGGAAGCAGAAUACACACUGGGCUUCUGGAAGACCUUCCCCGGAAAAAUGACGGAUUCCUUGAGGAAGCCAGAGCGUCGACUGCUGUGUGAGAGUAGUAACCGAGCCCUGUCUCUGCAGCAUGCUGGGAGGUUUUCCGUGAAUUGGUUCAUUCUCUUUAAUGAUGCCCUGGUCCAUGCCCAGUUCUCCACGCACCAUGUUUUCCCUCUGGCCACGCUGUGGGCAGAGCCACUGUCUGAAGAAGCUGGUGGUGUGAAUGGCUUAAAGAUAACUACACCUGAGGAGCAGUUCACUCUCAUUUCAUCUACACCCCAGGAAAAGACAAAGUGGCUACGAGCUAUAAGCCAAGCCGUAGAUCAGGCUUUGAGAGGGAUGUCUGAUCUCCCCCCUUAUGGAAGUGGUAGCAGUGUUCAGAGACAGGAACCACCCAUUUCACGCAGUGCCAAAUAUACUUUCUACAAGGAUCCUCGCCUAAAGGAUGCCACCUAUGAUGGACGCUGGCUUUCAGGGAAGCCUCAUGGCAGAGGGGUUUUGAAGUGGCCUGAUGGAAAGAUGUAUUCUGGCAUGUUCAGGAAUGGCUUGGAAGAUGGGUAUGGAGAAUACAGAAUCCCAAACAAGGCAAUGAACAAAGAAGACCAUUAUGUGGGCCAUUGGAAAGAAGGAAAAAUGUGCGGUCAAGGAGUCUACAGCUAUGCUUCUGGUGAAGUAUUUGAGGGCUGUUUUCAAGAUAAUAUGCGUCAUGGUCAUGGUCUUCUACGAAGUGGGAAAUUGACGUCGUCUUCUCCUAGUAUGUUCAUUGGCCAGUGGGUAAUGGAUAAGAAAGCAGGAUAUGGUGUCUUUGAUGAUAUCACUAGGGGGGAAAAGUAUAUGGGAAUGUGGCAAGAUGAUGUGUGUCAAGGGAAUGGUGUGGUGGUUACCCAGUUUGGAUUAUACUACGAGGGCAACUUUCACCUUAAUAAAAUGAUGGGAAAUGGGGUUUUGCUUUCCGAAGAUGAUACUAUCUAUGAAGGAGAAUUUUCAGAUGACUGGACUCUUAGUGGAAAGGUUGGAAACUAGCUUUCUUUUUUUUUCUCCCUAAUAAAUUCUUUUACUAAUUUUUUUUUUUUUUACUUUAAAAAUAGCUGAUUUACAUGCCAUAAAAUUCACCCCUUUCAAGUGCACAUUUCAGUGAUUUUUGGUCAACAUGGCUGUACAAACCACCACCACAAUCCAGUUUCAGAACAUUUCCGUCACCCAAGAAAAUCCCUUCUGCUCAUUCAGUGACUUCCAUUUCCACCUAAAGUCCCAGCCAACCACUAAUCACCCUUAAUCACUCUAUAGAUUUGCCUUUUCUGGGCCUUUUGUAUAAAUGGAAUCAUACACGCAAUCUCCUCUAUGUGGCUUCUUACACUUAGUAUAAUGUUUUUGUUUUUUCCAUAUUGUGGCAUGUAUAGUAUUUGUUCCUUUUUAUGGCUGAAUAGUAUUCCAAAACUACAUUUUGUUUAUCCUUUUACCAGUUGAUGGACAUUGGGUUAUUUCCAACUUUAGACUAUUGUAAAUAAUGCUGCUAUAAACUUUUGAAUGCAGUUUCUUGUGUAGACAUAUGUUUUCAUUUUCAUUUCUCAAGUAGAUGCCUGGAGUGUAAUUGCUAAGUUGUAUGGUAAAUUGAUGUUUAACAUAUUAAGAAACUGUCGAACUUUUUUCCAAAGUGUCUGUACCAUUUUACAUUCCCAUCAGCAAUGUCUGAGGAUACUAAUUUCUCCAUAUCAAAAAAUAUUUCUUAUUUUCUGUCUUUUUUCUUAUAGCCAUUCCAAUGGGUAUGAAGUGGUAUCUCCUGGUUUGAAUUUGCAUUCCCUAGUGACUAAUGAUGUAGAACAUGCUUAUUAGUGAUUCAUAUAUCUUCUUUGAUGAAAUGUCUAUUCAGAUCUUGGCCUAUUUCUAAAAUUUUGUUUGUACUCUUGUUGAAUUGUAUGGGUUCUUUCUGUAUUCUGGAUACAUGUCCUUUAUCAGAUAUGAUUUGUAAAUAUUUUCUUGCAGUCUGACUUGUCUUUUAUUUUCUUAAUGAUGUCUUUUGAAAUAGAAAAGUUUUUCAUUUUAAUAAACUCUAUAAAAAAUUUUAUGAA
Molecule: small RNA, 4900 nt
Filed under: Pan troglodytes (chimpanzee)
Lineage: Eukaryota; Metazoa; Chordata; Mammalia; Primates; Hominidae
Description: retained intron
Source: RNAcentral